AAAGAAUAAUUGCUAUUAUAUUAUGCCUUUUUACCUGUGAAAUCCUUUGCUGUGGUAUCAGAUCCAGAAGCUUGGAAGCUGUAUUACAGAUCCAGGUAAUCGAGAGACCUCAGGAAAUACCAUGCACACAGUGUUUCACCGUGACAAGACCAAAGAUACACAUCCUGAAAGCUGUUGCAGCGCUGAAAAGGGUGGGCAGCCAUUGCCUUGGUUUGAGCAUAGGAAAAAUGUAUCACAGUUUGCAGAACCUACAGAAACGUUGUUUGGUCCCGAUUCUGGAAAAGGUGCCAAGAGCUUAGUUGAACUCCUUGAUGAGUCUGAAUGUACUUCAGAUGAGGAAAUCUUUAUCUCACAAGAUGAAAUACAGUCAUUUAUGGCUAAUAACCAGUCUUUCUACAGCAAUAGAGAACAAUACCGACAGCAUCUGAAGGAGAAAUUUAAUAAAUACUGCCGCUUACAUGAUCACAAGAGGCCCAUUUGUAGUGGCUGGUUGACACGGCUGGAGCAAAUUAAAUAAAUAAAAUAGCUCUGUCUUUCAAUGAAACACUCACGAUGACUACUGCGCCUUCUCUUUCGAAAAACUCUUAAUUUAGUGACUUAUGGCAAAGUUUUAUCUUAAAUCAAUGUGAUUCUUUCUUGUUUUGGGAGACGGUGGAGGUAUCCUCAUUAGUUUGUUCUUUCUU
RNAcentral lists this small RNA (683 nucleotides) under Pongo abelii (Sumatran orangutan). RNAcentral's name for it is "retained intron". The record is from RNAcentral. Lineage: Eukaryota; Metazoa; Chordata; Mammalia; Primates; Hominidae.